Long non-coding RNA from Frieseomelitta varia, 761 nucleotides. RefSeq lists it as uncharacterized. The record is from RefSeq and is a predicted model, not a curated record. The transcript has 2 exons. NCBI's taxonomy places the organism in Eukaryota, Metazoa, Arthropoda, Insecta, Hymenoptera, Apidae.
GACUCGAGACAAAAGAGGCACGAGCAAACGAAGAGAAACGAGAAGAGAGAAGAGCGAGUUCGCGUACGUGGGAGAAAAGGAGGGAUGACCGCACAGAGUAUCGUUAACCGGUAUACACAAGAGCACGUUCUCCAGCGUGCACAAGUGGCGAGGCACCACGAGUUAGUAUCGCGAGUGAACUCGGCCGACACGCAAGUAACCGCGUCCACACGCGUUUGCGAACCAGCGACUCUAUGAAUCGUUUGCCGUCGUCGAUCGUUUCCUCGAGCGGGAAAACCUUCAUGGAACCACGACGUUCGAAGAAUCACAACGUCGACGCUGACAUCGGAUACCGUCGUCGCAUUCUAUUUCCGUGCUCGCCGCGGCUGGUCUAGCGUAGCGGCGCGGCCAAGAGAGAGAAGUCUCGGAGGCGGCCACACCACGCAGUGUUGUUUGGAACGAAAAGCACGGAGGAGACCGAAGGAGUGUUGUGUGCUGCACCGUGCUGUGUCGCGAGACAGAAGGAGAAAGAGGGACUCGCGGUGAAUCGGCCCGUUAGUCGGCAGGAAUCUAGUAAGCCCGCCGUUAAUAUAUCAACCACAGCAGCUCCCUUAUCGCGUCCGUCGCGAUCAAAUGAAAUAAUAUUUCUUCCUAUCUUUCAAUAACGCCGUGCAAACGUUCCCCAACUUUCCGUACAAAGAUCCCUCGUUCGUCGUUGAAAACAAAAAAAGAGUUGUCCUUAUACCGACAGGACACUGACCCUCCCUUCUGCGACAAAAAUC